Molecule: long non-coding RNA, 354 nt
Filed under: Brachypodium distachyon (stiff brome)
Lineage: Eukaryota; Viridiplantae; Streptophyta; Magnoliopsida; Poales; Poaceae
Description: long non-coding RNA (BDIS_LNC005040)
Source: RNAcentral
CUCCUCCGUCGUCUGUUGCCCCAUCUCCUAUCCUAGCGCCCCUCCUCUGCUCAUCCUCAGCUCUCUGCCCGGCAGCAACGCGCCAUCCGCCUUCUGUCCUCUUCUCCCAGCUCCCCACGCGCCAAUCUGCUCGCUCGCCUCACCUCUCCGAUCCGCUCGCCGGCUGCCGCCGCCCGCAUGCAGCGGAUCGGUGCGGCAGAUCCAAACAGGCCGAUGCAGAGCAGACUCGCAGCCCCCGUGCAUGCAUCCAGCGUGCUGUAUCCUGGCUGCGAUGCAGUCGCUGGGUCUCAGGGAAACCAAACACGCCCGAAGAGUCAUCACUACACAUGCCUAUUGACGCUUGUCGUAUGGGUC